AUUGAACGCUGGCGGCAGGCUUAACACAUGCAAGUCGAGCGGGGUGAUGGUGCUUGCACUAUCACUUAGCGGCGGACGGGUGAGUAAUGCUUAGGAAUCUGCCUAUUAGUGGGGGACAACAUCUCGAAAGGGAUGCUAAUACCGCAUACGUCCUACGGGAGAAAGCAGGGGAUCACUUGUGACCUUGCGCUAAUAGAUGAGCCUAAGUCGGAUUAGCUAGUUGGUGGGGUAAAGGCCUAUCAAGGCGACGAUCUGUAGCGGGUCUGAGAGGAUGAUCCGCCACACUGGGACUGAGACACGGCCCAGACUCCUACGGGAGGCAGCAGUGGGGAAUUUUGGACAAUGGGCGAAAGCCUGAUCCAGCAAUGCCGCGUGUGUGAAGAAGGCCUUCGGGUUGUAAAGCACUUUUGUCCGGAAAGAAAUGGCUCUGGUUAAUACCUGGGGUCGAUGACGGUACCGGAAGAAUAAGGACCGGCUAACUACGUGCCAGCAGCCGCGGUAA
RNAcentral lists this ribosomal RNA (502 nucleotides) under uncultured bacterium. RNAcentral describes it as "partial 16S ribosomal RNA". It matches the Rfam family "Bacterial small subunit ribosomal RNA", at positions 30 to 523 of the family's 1533-position model. The record is from RNAcentral.